AUGCAUCUCUUUGACACACCUGGAACAGUUACUAUCUGCUACCAAGGUUUCCACUACAGAUACAAGAAAAAAGUGUCCUCACAAUUUCUAACUGAUUGUGACAGCCAAGAUUGAAUGGGGGAAUACAGGA
Molecule: small nucleolar RNA, 130 nt
Organism: Equus asinus (donkey)
Lineage: Eukaryota; Metazoa; Chordata; Mammalia; Perissodactyla; Equidae
Source: Ensembl